GUUACAAUGUUUUAAACCAGAAGAAUCAUUUUAUACAUAAGCUUCUUAACUAUUUCAACGCCAAAAAGAGAUGGACAAUAGUAUAAUCUGUAAGCAUACGUAAAGGACCUGGUUUAAAAAAAAGGCAAUUCUCCUAAAUAUAUUAUUUUUAAGUUUUGAUCACAAAAAUAGACCACAAGAAGAAAAAUGACCGAAUUGUUUUAUUUAAUAGAUAAAAUGACCCUAAUACCCUAGAUAUAUAUAAAAAAAACCAAAAAUAAAAAAAAAUAAAAUUUUUUUAAAAAUAGUUUUUUUAUAGUUUUAGAUUAUAUGUUUUUAAAUUCGAAAUUUUUUAUAAUAUUUUUCUAUUUUUUCUUAUUUUUUUCAAAUUUUCUUUUUGUAAUUCGAAAAUACUUUUUGAAACUAUUUUUAAAUUUUUAAUAGUUAUUUUUUAUUUUAUAAAAUUUUAAAUCUUAAUCCCAAAUCCACACCCCUUAACUCUAAACCCUAAGUUUUGGAUUAGUUAAAACUAGAGGUAUAAGUGUAUAUUUACCUCAUUUUAAUGAAAUAUUUUGCUCAUUUUGAUUCUUAGAGUCUAUAUUUGUUACAGAAUUUUUUUUAGUGCUAUCUUAGAGUAUUUCCCCAAAAAAAAGGUACUU
Molecule: long non-coding RNA, 638 nt
Filed under: Brassica rapa (field mustard)
Lineage: Eukaryota; Viridiplantae; Streptophyta; Magnoliopsida; Brassicales; Brassicaceae
Description: long non-coding RNA (BRAP_LNC000318)
Source: RNAcentral